This 301-nucleotide ribosomal RNA is filed under the name uncultured bacterium. RNAcentral describes it as "partial 16S ribosomal RNA". It matches the Rfam family "Bacterial small subunit ribosomal RNA", at positions 509 to 807 of the family's 1533-position model. The record is from RNAcentral.
CAGUAGCCGCGGUAAUACGAAGGGUGCAAGCGUUAAUCGGAAUUACUGGGCGUAAAGCGUGCGUAGGCGGUUUGUUAAGUCUGCUGUGAAAUCCCCGGGCUCAACCUGGGAAUGGCAGUGGAAACUGGCAAGCUAGAGUGUGUCAGAGGAUGGUGGAAUUCCCGGUGUAGCGGUGAAAUGCGUAGAGAUCGGGAGGAACAUCAGUGGCGAAGGCGGCCAUCUGGGACAACACUGACGCUGAGGCACGAAAGCGUGGGGAGCAAACAGGAUUAGAUACCCCAGUAGUCCCUGUCUCUUAUAC